UACAGAGGUCCCAAGCGUUGUUCGGAUUCACUGGGCGUAAAGGGUGCGUAGGUGGUGAGGUAAGUCGGAUGUGAAAUCUCCGGGCUCAACCCGGAAAUGGCAUUGGAAACUACCUUGCUGGAGGAUUUGAGGGGGGAUUGGAAUACUUGGUGUAGCAGUGAAAUGCGUAGAUAUCAGGAGGAACACCGAUGGCGAAGGCAGGUCUCUGGGCCACUACUGACGCUGAGAAGCGAAAGCAUGGGGAGCGAACAGG
This 253-nucleotide ribosomal RNA is filed under the name uncultured bacterium. RNAcentral describes it as "partial 16S ribosomal RNA". It matches the Rfam family "Bacterial small subunit ribosomal RNA", at positions 524 to 776 of the family's 1533-position model. The record is from RNAcentral.